RNAcentral lists this ribosomal RNA (242 nucleotides) under uncultured bacterium. Its description in RNAcentral is "partial 16S ribosomal RNA". It matches the Rfam family "Bacterial small subunit ribosomal RNA", at positions 524 to 765 of the family's 1533-position model. The record is from RNAcentral.
GACGAACCACACGAACGUUAUUCGGAAUUACUGGGCUUAAAGGGUGCGUAGGCGGCGCAGAAAGUUGGGUGUGAAAUCCCUCGGCUCAACCGAGGAACUGCGCCCAAAACUACUGUGCUUGAGGAAGAUAGAGGUAAGCGGAACUUACGGUGGAGCGGUGAAAUGCGUUGAUAUCGUAAGGAACACCUGUGGCGAAAGCGGCUUACUGGGUCUUUUCUGACGCUGAUGCACGAAAGCCGAGG